This 70-nucleotide ribosomal RNA is filed under the name Paenibacillus pectinilyticus. RNAcentral's name for it is "partial 23S ribosomal RNA". Lineage: Bacteria; Bacillati; Bacillota; Bacilli; Caryophanales; Paenibacillaceae. The record is from RNAcentral.
AUAGGUUCGAGGUGGAAGUGCGGCAACGUAUGCAGCUGACGAAUACUAAUCGGUCGAGGGCUUAACCAAA